RNAcentral lists this ribosomal RNA (440 nucleotides) under uncultured bacterium. RNAcentral describes it as "partial 16S ribosomal RNA". It matches the Rfam family "Bacterial small subunit ribosomal RNA", at positions 338 to 795 of the family's 1533-position model. The record is from RNAcentral.
CCUACGGGAGGCAGCAGUGGGGGAUAUUGCACAAUGGGGGAAACCCUGAUGCAGCGACGCCGCGUGGGUGAAGAAGCGCCUCGGCGCGUAAAGCCCUGUCAGCAGGGAAGAAAAUGACGGUACCUGAAGACGACGCCCCGGCUAACUCCGUGCCAGCAGCCGCGGUACCACGUAGGGGGCAAGCGUUAUCCGGAUUUACUGGGUGUAAAGGGGGCGCAGGCGGCGAUGCAAGCCAGGAGUGAAAGCCCGGGGCCCAACCCCGGGACUGCUCUUGGAACUGCGUGGCUAGAGUGCAGGAGGGGUAGGCGGAAUGCCUGGUGUAGCGGUGAAAUGCGUAGAUAUCAGGAAGAACACCGGUGGCGAAGGCAGCCUGCUGGACUGCAACUGACGUUGAGGCCCGAAAGCGUGGGGAGCGAACAGGAUUAGAUACCCCAGUAGUC